CUACGUGCCAGCAGCCGCGGUAAUACGUAGGUGGCAAGCGUUGUCCGGAAUUAUUGGGCGUAAAGCGCGCGCAGGCGGAUUGGUCAGUCUGUCUUAAAAGUUCGGGGCUUAACCCCGUGAUGGGAUGGAAACUGCUGAUCUAGAGUAUCGGAGAGGAAAGUGGAAUUCCUAGUGUAGCGGUGAAAUGCGUAGAUAUUAGGAAGAACACCAGUGGCGAAGGCGACUUUCUGGACGAAAACUGACGCUGAGGCGCGAAAGCCAGGGGAGCGAACGGGAUUAGAUACCCCGGUAGUCCUGGCCGUAAACGAUGGGUACUAGGUGUAGGAGGUAUCGACCCCUUCUGUGCCGGAGUUAACGCAAUAAGUACCCCGCCUGGGGAGUACGACCGCAAGGUUGAAACUCAAAGGAAUUGACGGGGGCCCGCACAAGCGGUGGAGUAUGUGGUUUAAUUCGACGCAACGCGAAGAACCUUACCAGGUCUUGACAU
RNAcentral lists this ribosomal RNA (487 nucleotides) under uncultured bacterium. Its description in RNAcentral is "bacterial SSU rRNA". It matches the Rfam family "Bacterial small subunit ribosomal RNA", at positions 501 to 987 of the family's 1533-position model. The record is from RNAcentral.